This 75-nucleotide transfer RNA is filed under the name bacterium. Its description in RNAcentral is "tRNA-Pro". It matches the Rfam family "tRNA". From Rfam's summary of the family: Transfer RNA (tRNA) molecules are approximately 80 nucleotides in length. Their secondary structure includes four short double-helical elements and three loops (D, anti-codon, and T loops). RNAcentral also lists the same sequence under 5 other names. The record is from RNAcentral.
CGGGAUGUAGCUCAGCCCGGUUAGAGUACUUGUCUGGGGGGCAAGGGGCCCCGGGUUCAAAUCCCGGCAUCCCGA